GAUGAAUGCUGGCGGCGUGCCUAACACAUGCAAGUCGAGCGGCAGCGAGUUUUACACUGAAUUCUGGAAGCUUCUGAGUAGUACAGAAGAUUUAUUCAAGAGUUUUGUGUAAAAUGUCGGCGAGCGGCGGACGGCUGAGUAACGCGUAGGAAUUUGCCCCAUAGUGAGGAAUAACUGCCCGAAAGGGUAGCUAAUGCCGCAUAUGGUCUUCGGAUUAAAGCCUUCGUGCGCUUUGGGAGAAGCCUGCGUUGGAUUAGGUAGUUGGUAGGGUAAUGGCCUACCAAGCCGACGAUCCAUAGCUGGGCUGAGAAGAUGAUCAGCCAGACUGGAACUGAGACACGGUCCAGACUCCUACGGGAGGGAGCAGUGAGGAAUCUUCCACAAUGGGCGAAAGCCUGAUGGAGCAACGCCGCGUGAAGGAUUAAGGCCUUCGGGUUGUAAACUUCUUUUAUGAGUGAAGAAUAUGACGGUAACUCAUGAAUAAGCACCGGCUAACUACGUG
This 502-nucleotide ribosomal RNA is filed under the name uncultured bacterium. RNAcentral describes it as "partial 16S ribosomal RNA". It matches the Rfam family "Bacterial small subunit ribosomal RNA", at positions 28 to 507 of the family's 1533-position model. The record is from RNAcentral.